RNAcentral lists this transfer RNA (75 nucleotides) under Candidatus Nomurabacteria bacterium RIFCSPHIGHO2_02_40_30. RNAcentral's name for it is "tRNA-Arg". It matches the Rfam family "tRNA". From Rfam's summary of the family: Transfer RNA (tRNA) molecules are approximately 80 nucleotides in length. Their secondary structure includes four short double-helical elements and three loops (D, anti-codon, and T loops). RNAcentral also lists the same sequence under 5 other names. The record is from RNAcentral. Lineage: Bacteria; Candidatus Nomuraibacteriota.
GCACCCGUAGUGAAAUGGAUAUCACAACAGUCUUCGGAACUGUCAUUGCAAGUUCGAGUCUUGCCGGGUGCACCA